Molecule: non-coding RNA, 1008 nt
Organism: Misgurnus anguillicaudatus (oriental weatherfish)
Lineage: Eukaryota; Metazoa; Chordata; Actinopteri; Cypriniformes; Cobitidae
Source: RefSeq, a predicted model, not a curated record
CCGUACAAUGUAAGGUUGUCCUUACAUUGUCUUUGAAAUAAGCAUAAUGUAAAUCACUCUGGAUAAAAACAUCUGCUAAAAUUUCUUCUGUAAAAUACCAAAGUCUACUCUUAACCCCCUCCUUGACUCUUUCUCUCUUCUAACUUUAGUGGAAGUCUCUCUCUGACAAGUGCAUAAAGGAAGAAAUCAGUCGUGUUAAUGAAGCGUAGGAAAAAACUGAAUGAAAAAGUUCCACACUUCCAUUUAGAACAUAGCUGCCAUUCCAGAGUUACAAAGUGAAGUGAACGUGAUGGUCAAGUAUUUCUCUACUCAAAAUGUGACCUCUGCAUUUGACUCAUCCCAGUUUGGCUCUUAACACCACUCGCUGGCUUCAACAAGAGGGUUGGUGCGCAGACACGAGCGCAGCAGCAGCCAGACGGACCUGUGUGAUCCCAGUAAUUGAUGCCUUGCUCUGGGGAUAUAUUUAAUCACUACUACAAGCCUCUCGGAGGAAGAAAUGGCCUUGUAAAAACUCGCUGACUAUAUCCCGAACCAACAUGCGGGAAUCAAAACUAUGAAAAGGGUGGAGGUACAUGCUACACCUCUUCCUACUACAAGCACAUGCAGCCACACACACACACACAACUCGUGAAUAUCAACACAUUGUUCGCAUACACACACACACACAGAGACAUAUUCAGGCCAAAAAAUCUGAUUCCAGCUGCCCUAAAGCGGCCAGUUUUAGAGGCCUGUAAUUAUUAGCGCUUUAGAUGUGGCUGGGUUGAGAAAAGCAGUAAAUGAAGAGAAGAGGGGGUGCCAGCCCUAAAGCUGUGAGAAAACUGAAAACAAAUGAUCAACCCCUCCUCUUCUCGCCUCUAUCCCCUUCCCUCACCCCCCACAUACUACAUGUGGAAACAUGUGGGGAUGAAAGCGCACAUUAUUACGUGUGUGUGUGUGAAUAUGAGCAAAAUCCGGAAGACUUCCAAUCACUAAAUCGAUUCCAUUAUGGUACGUCAUCAUAAUCCUUCC